GGACAGGCGGCGGAGUGCGGAGGCACCGCUAGGCGGAGGAGGGAGGCAAGCGGCGAGGCGAGGGAGGCACCAGUGCUCGGCCGGAACCUUGUUGCCAGGGGAGACGGGCGCUUUACGGCAGGACGUUUGAACGGCGGCGGGGGAAAAGUUGCGGCCGCAGGUCUAAUCAAGAAACAAACAGCUGAUUGAGAGUGAUGCCGUUCCCACAGUAUGGGAAAUCUGUCACUCUUGGGGUUUCCUUAGUCAUACUUCCUGCUUUCACGAAGAGGAGAAGAGGUAUAAAAUUUUAUGCCCUAAAAAAUAAAAAGGGAAGAGAUCCCUUUUUCACAGAUAAUUCAUAAACAACCUCGUUUGGGCUUAAUAAACAUGUUUAAUGUAUUGAAUGCUAAAGCAUUACCAUCAAACACUUGUACUAUUUAUUUACUCUCACUUUUCA
Dryobates pubescens (Downy woodpecker) is the source of this 436-nucleotide long non-coding RNA. RefSeq lists it as uncharacterized. The transcript is spliced from 3 exons. The record is from RefSeq and is a predicted model, not a curated record. NCBI's taxonomy places the organism in Eukaryota, Metazoa, Chordata, Aves, Piciformes, Picidae.